UACGUAGGGUGCGAGCGUUAUCCGGAAUUAUUGGGCGUAAAGCGCACGCAGGUGGCGGCUUAAGGCUGACGUGAAAGCGCCUGGCUUAACUGGGCGAGGUCGUUGGCAACUGGGUCGCUUGAGGCGAGGAGAGGGGCGUAGAAUUCCCGGUGUAGUGGUGGAAUGCGUAGAUAUCGGGAGGAACACCAGUGGCGAAAGCGGCGCUCUGGGCCUAAACUGACGCUGAGGGGCGAAAGCGUGGGGAGCGAACGGG
Molecule: ribosomal RNA, 253 nt
Filed under: uncultured bacterium
Lineage: Bacteria
Description: partial 16S ribosomal RNA
Rfam family: Bacterial small subunit ribosomal RNA
Source: RNAcentral